UACUAGAGUAGCACUCGCAUAUCAAUAGCGGAGGAAAAGAAACUAACUAGGAUUCCCUCAGUAACGGCGAGUGAAGCGGGAAGAGCUCAAAUUUGAAAUCUUCAAGGUUUACCUUUACGAAUUGUAGUUUAAAGAAGUGUUUUCUGUUGGUAGUUUUGGUAAAAGUUCUUUGGAAUAGGACAUCAUAGAGGGUGAGAAUCCCGUAUUUGUACAGUUCCUUCCUAGCGUUGUGAUACACUUUCUAACGAGUCGGAUUGUUUGGGAAUGCAGUCCAAGAUGGGUGGUAAAUUUCAUCUAAAGCUAAAUAUUGGCGAGAGACCGAUAGCGAACAAGUACCGUGAGGGAAAGAUGAAAAGAACUUUGAAAAGAGAGUUAAACAGUACGUGAAAUUGUCAAAAGGGAAGCGUUUGACACCAGUGUUGUUUAGUUGAAAAUCAAUUCAAUAGUUUUUGAUUCUAAGUAGUAUUGACUUCAUCAGCUUGCUGCUUUCUUCUCAGAAAUUAUUGAAUGUACUUUUCAGUUAACAAGUCAACAUCAAUUUCUUUUGUUGUAAAAGGGUAAGAGGAAGGUGGCUUGCGCUUCGGCUCAAGUGUUUAUAGCCUUUUAUCUCUGCGAAUCGGAGAGAUUGAGGUCUGCAGCGUAGAUCCUUCGGGGUUAGAUACAUUGGUGCUAAGCUAUAGCCUUGUAUAGACAACUUGUUGACUAUGCUCAGUCAUGUAGCUUACUCGCUGAUGCUAUUUUACCUACGCUUAGGAUGUUGAAGAUGUAGCACAUCAU
Molecule: ribosomal RNA, 777 nt
Filed under: uncultured Neocallimastigales
Lineage: Eukaryota; Fungi; Neocallimastigomycota; Neocallimastigomycetes; Neocallimastigales
Description: partial large subunit ribosomal RNA
Rfam family: Eukaryotic large subunit ribosomal RNA
Source: RNAcentral